GUCGUGAGAUGUUGGGUUAAGUCCCGCAACGAGCGCAACCCUUAUCCUGUGUUGCCAGCGCGUAAUGGCGGGGACUCGCAGGAGACUGCCGGGGUCAACUCGGAGGAAGGUGGGGACGACGUCAAGUCAUCAUGCCCCUUACGUCCAGGGCUGCAAACAUGCUACAAUGGCCGGUACAAUGGGCUGCGAACUCGCGAGGGUAAGCGAAUCCCUUAAAGCCGGUCUCAGUUCGGAUCGGAGUCUGCAACUCGACUCCGUGAAGCUGGAGUCGCUAGUAAUCCCGGAUCAGCAUUGCCGGGGUGAAUACGUUCCCGGGCCUUGUACACACCGCCCGUCACACCACGAAAGUCGGCAACACCCGAAGCCGGUGGCCUAACCGCAAGGAAGGAGCCGUCGAAGGUGGGGUCGGUGAUUGGGGUGAAGUCGUAACAAGGUAGCCGUACCGGAAGGUGCGGCUGGAUCACCUCCUUUCUAAGGAGUAGCUCUUGCCUAAAGCCAACAUUCGUUGGUGGAACGGUAAGUGCUCCUAGGUUGAUCACUAACUAGUUGGCUGUCUGGUGCGUCAGCAAAAUCGUAGGUUCGCCUCUUUAGCUGGCAAAGCAACAGCUUGACUAUUCUCUGUUCCGUUUUGAAGGAGUGCCUUAGUGGCCUCGUUCAAACCCCAACGCCUCUCUCGAGUCGAUUUUUCGGCAUCGGGCGGGGGCGUUGUUGCGUCCAACGUGUUUCGCGUUGUUCGCAUGCUCUUUGAGAAUUCCAUAGCGAGCACGAGCAUCUUUGUUCUCCAAGAUACAAAGAGUCAACGGUGGAUGCCUUGGCGUCUAGAGCCGAAGAAGGACGUGGGUGACUGCGAAAAGUCACGGGGAGCUGUCGACCAAGCGUUAUAUCCGUGAAUGU
RNAcentral lists this small RNA (894 nucleotides) under uncultured Actinomycetes bacterium. RNAcentral's name for it is "bacterial SSU rRNA". The stretch from base 1 to 471 matches the Rfam family "Bacterial small subunit ribosomal RNA", at positions 1064 to 1533 of the family's 1533-position model. The record is from RNAcentral. Lineage: Bacteria; Bacillati; Actinomycetota; Actinomycetes.